RNAcentral lists this ribosomal RNA (519 nucleotides) under uncultured eukaryote. RNAcentral's name for it is "SSU rRNA". It matches the Rfam family "Eukaryotic small subunit ribosomal RNA", at positions 1161 to 1699 of the family's 1831-position model. The record is from RNAcentral.
AGGGCACCACCAGGAGUGGAGCCUGCGGCUUAAUUUGACUCAACACGGGAAAACUCACCCGGCCCGGACACUGGAAGGAUUGACAGAUUGAGAGCUCUUUCUUGAUUCAGUGGGUGGUGGUGCAUGGCCGUUCUUAGUUGGUGGAGUGAUUUGUCUGGUUAAUUCCGAUAACGAACGAGACUCUAGCCUACUAAAUAGAUCGUCGGCUUACAAACGCCGGCGAGACUUCUUAGAGGGACAGGCGGUGAUUCAACCGCACGAAACAGAGCAAUAACAGGUCUGUGAUGCCCUUAGAUGUCCGGGGCCGCACGCGCGCUACACUGAAGUGAUCAGCGUGCUUUUUCAACCUACUCUGUCAAGAGUGGGGAACCCAAUGAACCUUCUUCGUGAUUGGGAUAGGGGAUUGUAAUUAUUCCCCUUGAACGAGGAAUUCCCAGUAAGCGCGAGUCAUAAGCUCGCGUUGAUUACGUCCCUGCCCUUUGUACACACCGCCCGUCGCUACUACCGAUUGAAUGAUAG